GACGAACGCUGGCGGCGUGCUUAACACAUGCGAGUCGAACGGAAAGGCCCUGCUUUUGUGGGGUGCUCGAGUGGCGAACGGGUGAGUAACACGUGAGUAACCUGCCCUUGACUUUGGGAUAACUUCAGGAAACUGGGGCUAAUACCGGAUAGGAGCUCCUGCUGCAUGGUGGGGGUUGGAAAGUUUCGGCGGUUGGGGAUGGACUCGCGGCUUAUCAGCUUGUUGGUGGGGUAGUGGCUUACCAAGGCUUUGACGGGUAGCCGGCCUGAGAGGGUGACCGGCCACAUUGGGACUGGGAUACGGCCAGACUCCUACGGGAGGCAGCAGUGGGGAAUAUUGCACAAUGGGCGGAAGCCUGAUGCAGCAACGCCGCGUGCGGGAUGACGGCCUUCGGGUUGUAAACCGCUUUCGCCUGUGACGAAGCGUGAGUGACGGUAAUGGGUAAAGAAGCACCGGCUAACUACGUG
This 467-nucleotide ribosomal RNA is filed under the name uncultured bacterium. Its description in RNAcentral is "partial 16S ribosomal RNA". It matches the Rfam family "Bacterial small subunit ribosomal RNA", at positions 28 to 507 of the family's 1533-position model. The record is from RNAcentral.